GAUGAACGCUAGCGGCAGGCUUAACACAUGCAAGUCGAGGGGCAGCAUGAUGAAACUUUCGGGUUUCAUUGAUGGCGACCGGCGCAAGGGUGCGUAACGCGUGAGCAACUUGCCCUUAUCAGGGGGAUAACCGGUGGAAACGCCGACUAAUACCCCAUAGUAUCACUUUAAGGCAUCUUUUAGUGAUUAAAGAAAUUCGGAUAAGGAUAGGCUCGCGUGACAUUAGCUAGAUGGCGGGGUAACGGCCCACCAUGGCGACGAUGUCUAGGGGUUCUGAGAGGAAGGUCCCCCACACUGGAACUGAGACACGGUCCAGACUCCUACGGGAGGCAGCAGUGAGGAAUAUUGGUCAAUGGGCGAGAGCCUGAACCAGCCAAGUAGCGUGAAGGAAGACUGCCCUAUGGGUUGUAAACUUCUUUGUUCGGGAAUAAAGUGCAGUACGCGUACCAUUUUGUAUGUACCGUAUGAAUAAGCAUCGGCUAACUCCGUGCCAGCAGCCG
RNAcentral lists this ribosomal RNA (500 nucleotides) under uncultured bacterium. RNAcentral's name for it is "bacterial SSU rRNA". It matches the Rfam family "Bacterial small subunit ribosomal RNA", at positions 28 to 517 of the family's 1533-position model. The record is from RNAcentral.